RNAcentral lists this ribosomal RNA (482 nucleotides) under uncultured bacterium. RNAcentral's name for it is "partial 16S ribosomal RNA". It matches the Rfam family "Bacterial small subunit ribosomal RNA", at positions 30 to 507 of the family's 1533-position model. The record is from RNAcentral.
AUUGAACGCUGGCGGCAUGCUUUACACAUGCAAGUCGAACGGUAACAGGCCGCAAGGUGCUGACGAGUGGCGCACGGGUGAGUAAUGCAUCGGAACGUGCCCAGUCGUGGGGGAUAACUACUCGAAAGAGUAGCUAAUACCGCAUACGAUCUAUGGAUGAAAGCGGGGGACCGUAAGGCCUCGCGCGAUUGGAGCGGCCGAUGUCAGAUUAGGUAGUUGGUGGGGUAAAGGCUCACCAAGCCAACGACCUGUAGCUGGUCUGAGAGGACGACCAGCCACACUGGGACUGAGACACGGCCCAGACUCCUACGGGAGGCAGCAGUGGGGAAUUUUGGACAAUGGGCGCAAGCCUGAUCCAGCAAUGCCGCGUGCAGGAAGAAGGCCUUCGGGUUGUAAACUGCUUUUGUACGGAACGAAACGGCUCUGGUUAAUACCCGGGGCUAAUGACGGUACCGUAAGAAUAAGCACCGGCUAACUACGUG